RNAcentral lists this ribosomal RNA (972 nucleotides) under bacterium enrichment culture clone B312141. RNAcentral's name for it is "bacterial SSU rRNA". It matches the Rfam family "Bacterial small subunit ribosomal RNA", at positions 8 to 916 of the family's 1533-position model. The record is from RNAcentral.
AGAGUUUGAUCCUGGCUCAGGACGAACGCUGGCGGCGUGGAUUAGGCAUGCAAGUCGAACGGUAUAAACCUUUCGGGGUUUAGAGAGUGGCGAACGGGUGAGUAACACGUAGGUAAUCUACCCUCAAAACGGGGACAACCCAGGGAAACUUGGGCUAAUACCGGAUGCGUGCAAGCAAUGUUUUGGCUGUUAAUGCUAUUCACGGAAGUGAGUAGUGUUAAUGGUUGAGAGCAUUAUUUGCAUAAAAGGUGGCAUAUGCUGCCGUUUGAGGAUGAGCCUGCGUCCUAUUAGUUAGUUGGUGAGGUAAUGGCUUACCAAGGCGAUGAUAGGUAGGCGGCCUUAACGGGUGGUCGCCCACACUGGGAUUGAGAGACGGCCCAGACUCCUACGGGAGGCAGCAGUCGAGAAUAGUCUACAAUGGACGGAAGUCUGAUAGUGCGACGCCGCGUGAACGAAGAAUCCCUUCGGGGUGUAAAGUUCUUUUAUACGUGAGCAGUGCCCUUUAUAUGAAUAGUAUAGAGGGAGGGAUUUAAGCGUAUGAAUAAGCAACGGCUAACUCCGUGCCAGCAGCCGCGGUAACACGGGGGUUGCAAGCGUUGUCCGGAAUUACUAGGCGUAAAGUGCAGGUAGGCGGAUAGAUAAGUUUAAGGUUAAAGGCUACGGCUUACCCGUAGUAAGGCGUUAGAUACUGUUUAUCUGGAAUGCGGUUGAGGGAGACAGAAUUCCUGGUGUAGCGGUGGAAUGCGCAGAGAUCAGGAGGAAUACCGAAGGCGAAGGCAGUCUUCUAAGCCGAUAUUGACGCUAAACUGCGAAGGUGUGGGGAUCAAACAGGAUUAGAUACCCUGGUAGUCCACACAGUAAACGAUAAUCACUAGGUGUUGGGUUCGUAUAGGACUCGGUGCCGGAGCUAACGCGAUAAGUGAUUCGCCUGGGGAGUACGAUCGCAAGGUUGAAACUCAAAUGAAUUGACGG